CUACGGGUUGCUGCAGCGAGGAAUAUUGCACAAUGGGGGGAACCCUGAUGCAGCAACGCCGCGUGGAGGAUGACGCAUUUCGGUGUGUAAACUCCUUUUAUAUGUCAAGAAAAUGACGGUAGCAUAUGAAUAAGCACCGGCUAACUCCGUGCCAGCAGCCGCGGUAAUACGGAGGGUGCAAGCGUUACUCGGAAUCACUGGGCGUAAAGGACGCGUAGGCGGGUUGGAAAGUCAGGUGUGAAAUCCUACAGCUUAACUGUAGAACUGCACUUGAAACUUCUAAUCUAGAGUAUGGGAGGGGGAGAUGGAAUUAGUGGUGUAGGGGUAAAAUCCGUAGAUAUCACUAGGAAUACCUAAAGCGAAGGCGAUCUCCUGGAACAUUACUGACGCUAAGGCGUGAAAGCGUGGGGAGCAAACAGGAUUAGAUACCCGUGUAGUC
RNAcentral lists this ribosomal RNA (439 nucleotides) under uncultured bacterium. RNAcentral describes it as "partial 16S ribosomal RNA". It matches the Rfam family "Bacterial small subunit ribosomal RNA", at positions 339 to 795 of the family's 1533-position model. The record is from RNAcentral.